CUUUAAAGGCUUCAAAGCACUGGGGUCACCUCACAGUUACUGCUUAUUUUUCUUUUUUUCCCAGUAUAGGGGACUGAACCCAGAGCCUCCACACUGAGCUAUACCCCUGUCCCCACCUUUUUUAUUUUGAGACAGGGUCUUGCUAAGUUACUAAAUUACCCAGGCUAGGCUCAAACUUGAGGUCCUCCUGUGUCAGCCUCCCAGACUGCUGGGAGUAUAUGUGUGCCACCAUGCCCAGCUCAGCUUUAAUUGCUGCUGCUACGUGACCCUCAAAGGCAGGAAGCUGCUGGCCUGGACCUCUCCCUGGGAGUCAGGGCUGUGUAGACAGAGCACUGCACUGCCCACCGUGGGGCCCUCUUGGCCUGGAGCCCAUCUGCCUCAGCCACUCCAGGGGCCAGGGCACCCACGCAGGAGUCCUGGUCGCUUUCCCUUUCAGGGCAGGAUGUAUGGCAGGGACAUGGGUUUUACGGAGCACAAUCCCCUCUAGUUCAUGUGCUCUGUGUGAACAACGCCAGACACCAGAGGGGCUGUGAGGCCACUGCAGGUAGCUAGGGCUGAAAUGACGGAAAUUAAGAUCACUUCCACCUCUCGACAAAUCAUGUAAUGUGGCAAUUCUCCCAGCUGAAAUCCAGGUGGCCUUCACGCUGAGCUCAGUACACGCACACACACACACACACACACACUGUGAAAUUUUGAGACAGAGUCUCAUUAAGUCACCAAAUUGCUCAGGCUGUGCUCAAACUUGCAAUCCUCCUGCCUCAGCCUCCCAGAGGCAUGCACCAUCUCACCAGGCAAGAAGUAUAUUUUCAAAUGUUAGGGUCCACUCUGCUUCCAUUAAAACCUGGAAAGUAUGGGGCCAGGGAUUUGGCUUAGUGUCGGCAAGUCUGUCUCAAAAGCACAAGGUCCAGAGUUCAAUCCCCAAUACCUCCCGGCCAAAAAAACAAAAAAAAACCCCCACAACAAAACCUGGAAAGUAAAAUUACAAUAAAGUCAGAUUUGGAUGCAAAUAAUAUACUUAAACUUUAAAUAUAUCUAUAUAUUACAGUAAAAUCUUGGACUGCGAGUAACGUGCUCCGCAAGUGUUCUGCAAGAUGAGCAAACAUUUUACCUUGAUAAACACAAGAUGUCUUGCAAUACAAUAGCACCUGCUACCGAAUGUCACAUGAUCACAACUGAGCCACUCUUUCCUCUCUCUCUCUCUCUCUCUCUCUCUCUCUGUACUGCGGGAUUGUGAGUGAUCAGCUCCCAACACCAAGAGGUCAUGGUGGAGGAGAUCUCGUCUGCAGAGGAGGAGGAGGAGAAAAAGGCAGAGGAAUCCCUCACUUCGAAUGAGAUCAGGGAGAUGUGUACAAUGUGGGAAACGGUGCAAAACUGUGUAGAAAACACCACCCGAAUAAGGCUGAGCAGUGUGAGCGAUAAAUCUGUCUAAUGACAAUGCAUUGCCACAUUUCCAUGAAAUCCUCAAAAGGAGGCAAAAGCAAGUGUCAUUGGACAGGUACCUCAUGAAAGCUGUACAAAAAGAAAAAGAUUCCACUGAGCCUAUAGCAGUGAUUCCGUUUGUGAUAGUGAAAGCCGCUACACAGUGACCCUCCUCCCUCUUGUCUCCCUCACACCAGCCAUGAAGGUUUUCAAAGGGCUGGGAGUUGAACCCAUGCAAAACACACAUUCUACCACUAAACUACACACUGAGCCCAUGUUGUACCCUAUUACAUUAUAGUACUGUAACAUAAUAUAUUAUCCCAUUGUACUAUACAUUACACCGUGUAAAGAAUAAAUGUAAAUUAUGUACCAAUUAACUGACUGUUAAAAAGUCACCCGGGGAGUGGGCUGAGGCAGGGUGGUGCCUUUCCGAGGGCCCAGCAUCUCCCAUCUGCCCUCACCCUACAGCGUCUGCCUGUCUGGACCUAGCUGUAUCCGGGCCAGGGGUAGGGCCACCCGGCACCGCUCCCCAACCCCCAGUUCCCAGGCCCAGGGUCCCUGCAGUGAGAACGAUGGUGGCCACAGUGGCAGGCG
RNAcentral lists this long non-coding RNA (2013 nucleotides) under Heterocephalus glaber (naked mole-rat). Its description in RNAcentral is "lncRNA (ENSHGLG00100051492.1)". Lineage: Eukaryota; Metazoa; Chordata; Mammalia; Rodentia; Bathyergidae. The record is from RNAcentral.